GUGGUUUCUGAAGACAAAGAGGUUUUGUCUGGCAGGAAAACCAUUAGCACUGUCCAUGAGUCUCCAUUAUUUACAAGCUCUCUGAAAAAGAGAUACCAUUAUAGCACCUGCGAUUGCGAUGAGGAACACAUAUAAAAGCCAUGUGAAAUGUGUCAGUUUUUCCUUGGGCUUAUCAGCCUGAGUCAGUGUAUUCAGUGCAUGUUCUCCAAAGCGCCUCACAGAAUCUGCAGUGAUGGACAACUGUAUCUAACCAGACCUGGGAGCUGUGGGACCAGCUCAGUGGAGAAGUGUUUUAGGAGAGGUUAUACCACAUCUGAAAAUGACAGGGGAAUCAACGUGGGCACCUGCUGAGCUUAAGAAGGGGAGAAGCCAAUCUCACAAUCUCAGAGCAAGAGCUUCCUCAGAGACUAAACCUGCAUCAUACACCGUGGCAAUUAGGCUGAAAGCUCAAGUGCCACAUUUGCUCUUUUAGGAAAUAAAUCUUUGCUGAAGAAAUUACUUUUCUUAUCAAAGUGAAUGUCUGUAUAUAUUAUAUAAUUACAUUUACAUUAUUUGUUACUUUUAUCAUAUGCCAUAGAACAUACUGAAGGUGCAUAAAAGAGCAAGUACUACUGAAUUUGUAGAGUUUCUAAUGUUUUUUUCUUCAUCUUAGCAGAGUAAAACAAAAUCCCCAUUUUGUUUUGAUACGCCAGAAGAUAAUUAAUUUUAUGUCUAUUUACACUGUUUGCUUCCCAGUUUUCUAAUUCCACUUUCAUUAUUACACUGCCAUGUUGAGAGAAAAGUGCAUUUAUAUUCAUAAGCCUUUUCUAUGCAAAGGCCUUUAUCAAAGCUUUAUGAAUGUAACAGGUUGUAUUCAUAUUAAAGAUAUAUUGUAUGACAAGUAUAUUACAUUUACUUCCCUACAAAACCUCUAAGAGGCACUUCUUACGUUUCACUUCACCUUAACAAAAUCAACUUGAUUGGGGGCAAAAUCAGCUUAAUUCACAACAGCAUGGAAAUAUACACUACAAAUACUGGGACUACUUUAAAUACAGGGUUUAACAUUUUUGGGUGAAAAUGAUAAGUGUGGGGGCCGGUCUAUACAGUAAAUACCUGCUUAGAGUGAAUGUUAGAAAUAGUUCCCGUGCUGUUACACUAACCUGGGACUUGUGGAAAAGCCUUGUGUGAUUUCUGAACAGAAGACACAAGAGGGUUUUCUCUAUUAUUUUAACUGAGUUCAUCCUGCAUUUGAGCCAUGGUUGGAACACAGUUUUUUCAUCCGAAAGCUUCCUAGAGGUAAACAUAACAGACUCUCAUGUCUGGAGCACUAAGCUGGCCAGAGGUGUUCUCUGUUAUUAGCUGAUUCCCACAUGUGCUUUCACUUUAUCGUACAUAUACUGUAGCUGAUUGUUAAUGUUGAAGUAUUUCUUAUUGCUGCCAGAAAGAAAUCAGUGGCAUGGUAUCCUUCAUGAAUGAUGUUAAUUAUUUUUUCAAAAGUUCAGAAACACAAGGACAUAAGAAUAGUUACAAAUGAAAGGAGGCUGUCAAGCCAUAAUUUCUCUGUAGCUUGUUUGCUACUGUACUUAGUUGCCAAUUGAUCCAAUGAUCUUGUCCGGCUGUUUCUUGAAAGAAACGUCAACAUCAGCAUAAACAGCAGCCUAAGUAGCUUGUUCCACAUUUCCACAACCUUUUGGGCCAAAAUGGACAUUCUGUUCUUGGUUUUAAAUGCACAGAGAAUAUUGGCAUAAUCUAUGAGCAUCUUAUUUAUGAACAUCUUCUUUUUACAGGAUAAACAAUAUAUUAACACAAUCUAUCAUCUGUAAUUGGCACAUCAUUAACAUUA
Long non-coding RNA from Lepisosteus oculatus (spotted gar), 1822 nucleotides. RefSeq lists it as uncharacterized. The record is from RefSeq and is a predicted model, not a curated record. Lineage: Eukaryota; Metazoa; Chordata; Actinopteri; Semionotiformes; Lepisosteidae.